Ruditapes philippinarum (Manila clam) is the source of this 1440-nucleotide long non-coding RNA. RefSeq lists it as uncharacterized. The record is from RefSeq and is a predicted model, not a curated record. The transcript is spliced from 3 exons. Lineage: Eukaryota; Metazoa; Mollusca; Bivalvia; Venerida; Veneridae.
CGUGUAUCCUAUCAACCAAUCAGAAAUAGCGCGGGCGAAAUGAAAAAAGAAAAAAACGCGAUUGGAAAUGGAUGGUUAAUAAAAUUCAGAAUAUUGCAAAACAAGGAAAGUGUACAGCGUGUUUAAAUCUUUCAGAAAUGCAGCUGUGCCCUCUUUACAGCAAUUAUAGAUGAAGCAAAAUAUGGUAGCAAGUAAUAUAGAUAUACACACAUGCCGAAGAAGAUUGCAAUAUCUGGAGAAAACAUUUCCUACGUCACGAAAUAGACACCGUCACACUGGUCUACGUAUCAUUCCUAUAGAUGAUAUAUUUAAGUGCUUUUAAGAACAGUGUUUGAAUGACGAAUUUCUGAGAAUACAGAUUUUUAAUUUUAAUGAUUAUUAUUAAAACUUUCUGUAAUUAUCAAUUUGUGCUAUGAACUCAUUUUCCUAAAAUAAUAUGUGAAUGUUAACACGAACAAAUGAUAUGAAUAUCUUUAAAAUGUUUUAUGGGUGUAAUAUAAGUGCCUCAUAUGAAUCAUUGUUAAGAUAAAUCGAAAAGAACUUCAAGUUAGCAUAGUUUGUCCUAGAUUUAAACAACAUGCAAUUCAUAAAGGUUACGGCUUGAAAAUAUCGAAAAAUGUACAUGUAUAAUUCGAUCUCUGAAGAAAAUAUCGCGGUGCGGAUGUUCUGCACUGUGAUACGUAUUUCAUGACUCUGUAUCGCAACAUACCGGUAUAUCGCCUUUCCGUUGCAACGCUACAUUAAUGUGUCCCUCUGGGAUAAAGCUUACAACAAUAUAUGACUAUUGUAACGAAAUAAUAGAGAAGACAUGUUUAUUUUGUUAUAUAUAUGUAUACAUAUUGAAUAUAUGUUUAUGAAAUAAUAAAUAUUUAAGAGUGACUCGAUUUGGUUUUUACUUUACUAUUUGAAAUACACCAAUUUUGAAGAUAAAGUUCUAAAGCAUAUGACUACAAUUCCCAUUCACAAUGUGUAAUCAAACAUGUUCUAUUGUACAAGCCUGCAUUUCGGUCAUGUAUACGUGUCACUUAUAUGUAAAUGCAUGCUUUUGAUAGUAUCUGUACCUUCUUUUAUCUCGAAAAUACAGUUCUGUAUACCCUGUGUACAACUAAAAAAUGCAAUUCCGUAUAUCCCCUGUAUAUAUUGAAAAUACGAUUCCGUAUAUCCCCUGUAUAUGUAGAAAAUACGAUUCCGUAUAUCUUCUGUAUAUGUAGAAAAUACGAUUCCGUAUAUCAUCUGUAUAUGUGGAAAAUACGAUUCCGUAUAUCAUCUGUAUAUGUGGAAUAUACGGUUCCGUAUAUCCUUUGUAUACGUAGAAAAUACGAGUCCGUAUAUCCUCUGUAUACGUAGAAAAUACGGUCCCGUAUAUCCUUUGUAAAUUUAUAGUAUACUAGGGAUAAAAACCUUGAUAAAGUCCGUAUACGGGAUUUUAUUCUCCGUAUA